CCAAGGAUGUUUUCAUUAAUCAAGAACGAAAGUUAGGGGAUCGAAGACGAUCAGAUACCGUCGUAGUCUUAACCAUAAACGAUGCCGACCAGCGAUUAGGAGACGUUGAAUACAAAACACCACCAUCGGUGCGGUCAUCCUUGGCGUUGGUCUUCAAAAGCCAGCGCGGGGGUGGCUUAGCCCGGUGGCACCGGUGAAU
This 199-nucleotide ribosomal RNA is filed under the name Acanthamoeba sp. RNAcentral describes it as "partial 18S ribosomal RNA". The stretch from base 1 to 155 matches the Rfam family "Eukaryotic small subunit ribosomal RNA", at positions 958 to 1116 of the family's 1831-position model. The record is from RNAcentral. Lineage: Eukaryota; Discosea; Longamoebia; Acanthamoebidae.